UUAUCGGAGAGUUUGAUCCUGGCUCAGGACGAACGCUGGCGGCGUGCCUAAUACAUGCAAGUCGAGCGGACAGAUGGGAGCUUGCUCCCUGAUGUUAGCGGCGGACGGGUGAGUAACACGUGGGUAACCUGCCUGUAAGACUGGGAUAACUCCGGGAAACCGGGGCUAAUACCGGAUGGUUGUCUGAACCGCAUGGU
RNAcentral lists this ribosomal RNA (197 nucleotides) under Bacillus velezensis. RNAcentral describes it as "partial 16S ribosomal RNA". It matches the Rfam family "Bacterial small subunit ribosomal RNA", at positions 1 to 194 of the family's 1533-position model. Lineage: Bacteria; Bacillati; Bacillota; Bacilli; Caryophanales; Bacillaceae. The record is from RNAcentral.